UUGAUCUGCCGGACCUGACUGCUAUCGGCAUUGGUACUACGCCAUGCGACGUCCUUGUACCAUACAACGGCGGACUGCUCAGUAACACGUAGUUAACUUAACCUAUGGAUGGGAAUAACCUCGAGGAAACUGAGAAUAAUACCCCAACUGGGCCACACGUGCCUGCACAUGGCCUGUGUGUUGACACAUGAUUUACUCGCCGCUACCGCAUAGUGACUUGCGCGCCCUACUCACGCUCUGCUCUGGCUGACGGCUAACUCGGCCCCAACCCACUGGCCCUAUAACCAGCGUCACCGGCGGCUCCUGCAGCACCGCAGGCGGCCCCGCGGACGACUGGCGUACCUUGACGACCACCGUGACCUCACGUGCCCCUACUGCGCGGCGCCACGCACCGCCGACGAACACCCUCUUGCCAGCUGUGCCGAAACGCCACCGACACAGGCUUCACUCCGCAGUGUCUUCCCUGCCUACACGGAGUCUUCCUGUCACGCUCGUCGCAAUCACCUGGCUGCACAUAAGGGGCGUGGGCAACCUCCUGGUGUCAGCCCGCC
This 551-nucleotide ribosomal RNA is filed under the name uncultured archaeon. RNAcentral's name for it is "partial 16S ribosomal RNA". The record is from RNAcentral.